AAUACCUGAAUUGCAGUAAUCCUUACUAAAGCUUGUCCAAAUGGUUGAGAAACUAAAGCAUAGCUGACAAUACCGAAUAAGACAACAAUGCUUGUCAUCAAUGAUAAAAUUCUGAAGGAAUAUUUUCGUUGACCCUUUUGGCAUUCAACGACAAACGGCUCUGCAAAUUCAUUUAUUUUGUGUGCACUAUAUCCAGUUUGUUUACAAAAUUGAUGCAAUAAUCUUAUUUCAUGGUCAACAUAGUCAAGCUUAUCCUGCAAACUCAUUUUUGCAAAACUUUCUGAGAGUGUUUCCUCCUCCAGCAUCUUCACAGCAUUAAUUUCUUAGAACAACAUACAACAGGAAAAAGGAAAAACCCCGCGAAAAACGAAAG
RNAcentral lists this long non-coding RNA (373 nucleotides) under Mytilus galloprovincialis (Mediterranean mussel). The record is from RNAcentral. Lineage: Eukaryota; Metazoa; Mollusca; Bivalvia; Mytilida; Mytilidae.